CAGCCGCCACGGGAAUACGUAGGUGGCAAGCGCUGUCCGGAAUUAUUGGGCGUAAAGGGCUCGCAGGCGGUUUCUUAAGUCUGAUGUGAAAGCCCCCGGCUCAACCGGGGAGGGUCAUUGGAAACUGGGAAACUUGAGUGCAGAAGAGGAGAGUGGAAUUCCACGUGUAGCGGUGAAAUGCGUAGAGAUGUGGAGGAACACCAGUGGCGAAGGCGACUCUCUGGUCUGUAACUGACGCUGAGGAGCGAAAGCGUGGGGAGCGAACAGGAUUAGAUACCCCGGUAGUCCCUGUCUCUUAUAC
This 301-nucleotide ribosomal RNA is filed under the name uncultured bacterium. RNAcentral's name for it is "partial 16S ribosomal RNA". It matches the Rfam family "Bacterial small subunit ribosomal RNA", at positions 509 to 807 of the family's 1533-position model. The record is from RNAcentral.